GAGUUUGAUCCUGGCUCAGAGCGAACGCUGGCGGCAGGCUUAACACAUGCAAGUCGAACGCAUCCUUGGGGAUGAGUGGCAGACGGGUGAGUAACACGUGGGAACGUACCCUUUGGUUCGGAAUAACUCAGGGAAACUUGAGCUAAUACCGGAUACCCCUUUUGGGGAAAGGUUACUGCCGAAGGAUCGGCCCGCGUCUGAUUAACUAGUGGUGGGGUAACGGCCUACCAAGGCGACCAAUAAGUAGCUGUCUGAAAGAGAAUACCCCCUGGACUAAACACGGCCCAGACUCCUACGGGAGGCAGCAGUGGGGAAUAUUGGACAAUGGGCGCAAGCCUGAUCCAGCCAUGCCCGCGUGAGUGAUGAAGGCCUUAAGGUUGUAAAGCUCUUUUGUCCCGGACGAUAAUGACGGUCCGGAAGAAUAAACCCCGGUAACUUUGUGCCACAGGCCGGGGGAAUACCAAAGGGGCUAACGUGCUUGGAACACUGGCUAAAGGGGCCGUAAGCCGGCUUUAAUCGGGGGGAACCUUGGUUAACCCAAAAUUGGCUAGGGGGGUAACCCAAAAGUUGGGGAACUCCAAUUAAGGGGAAUUUAAAAUUUCAAAAACCGGGGGAAGGGGCCCCUUGGUCCCAA
Molecule: ribosomal RNA, 634 nt
Filed under: uncultured Alphaproteobacteria bacterium
Lineage: Bacteria; Pseudomonadati; Pseudomonadota; Alphaproteobacteria
Description: bacterial SSU rRNA
Rfam family: Bacterial small subunit ribosomal RNA
Source: RNAcentral